GGCAACGGAUAUCUCGGCUCUCGCAUCGAUGAAGAACGUAGCGAAAUGCGAUACUUGGUGUGAAUUGCAGAAUCCCGUGAACCAUCGAGUUUUUGAACGCAAGUUGCGCCCGAAGCUUUGCUUAGGGCACGUCUGCCUGGGCGU
RNAcentral lists this ribosomal RNA (144 nucleotides) under Arenaria valentina. Its description in RNAcentral is "5.8S ribosomal RNA". It matches the Rfam family "5.8S ribosomal RNA". Rfam says of the family: 5.8S ribosomal RNA (5.8S rRNA) is a component of the large subunit of the eukaryotic ribosome. The record is from RNAcentral. Lineage: Eukaryota; Viridiplantae; Streptophyta; Magnoliopsida; Caryophyllales; Caryophyllaceae.